Non-coding RNA from Amborella trichopoda, 1327 nucleotides. The record is from RefSeq and is a predicted model, not a curated record. NCBI's taxonomy places the organism in Eukaryota, Viridiplantae, Streptophyta, Magnoliopsida, Amborellales, Amborellaceae.
AUGGUCUCGGAAUAUACCACCUGCUCUAGCGGGGCCAGGGUUCCUCAGAAAGCAGCCAUCGAAGUUAAGCUUAAUUGCACCUUCUGGAGGUCACUGCCAAUUGUUGGGUCUUUGGGCCUUCUGUGGUUGGAGAUACAGGACGUUUUCCCAGUGGCUGAGAAAAGUGUUAGCUGCAAUCCCAGAGAAGGCCCUGAGAAAAACCAGUGGCUCCGGAGACUCAGAAAGCUACUAGAUGCAAACCAGAGAAUAUUACAAGGUGAACCAUGGACAGUGCCAUGGACUGCAGAGACCAUCCUCCAGGUCAUGUUUUUGUGGAUUGCUUCCUUUUGGCUAGUUGGGUCAUGGAUUGUACCAUUCCUUGCCCAUGCAGCAGGUGUAAACAAAGAAGCUCUGACAUAUAGAGGCCAAGCCCUAUACAGUCUCUUAACCUACGUGGUUGAGGGCCUCACAGGGAUUGUCAUCCUCCAUCGAUGCCUUGCCAGGUUCAAGCCCCUGCCUGCUCAUUGGUUCUCCUUCACACUUAAAGGGAGUUGGCACAUUGACGUGGGCUUGGGUUGCCUCCUUUUCCCAUUUGUUAAUUGCCUCUCUCAAAUUAACCUCAAACUCCUUCCUCUUCCAAACCCAGUUUCAGCUUCUAGCGUUGAGAGAUCGAUAAUGGCUCGUGAUCCAGUGGCCAUGGCCCUUUAUUCCAUAAUGGUCUCGGUUUGUGCUCCAAUAUGGGAAGAGAUUAUAUUUCGAGGGUUUCUAUUGCCAUCUUUGACCCGAUACAUACCGGUUUGGUGCUUAGUGGCCGUGAGCUCAUUGGCCUUUGCAGUGGUUCACUUCAAUUUGCAGAGAUUGUUGCCACUUGUGUUUUUGGGGUUGGUGAUGGGGGCAGUUUUUGAGGUUGAGGAACCUCCUUGCAUCGAUGCUAUUGCAUAGCCUGUGGAAUGGGUUUGUGUUCUUGGAUCUGUUGAAAUAGUGUUAUGAUAAAAUUAUUUAAGAAAAUGAAGUUUUAGGUAGCGAAAUUGUUGUGCAUGCUAUAUUUCUUUUGUCUCAAAUGGAUUAGCCUUCUAAUGUAUUGUAUAGACCUAGUGAGCAUGGCUAUAAGGCUUGUCAAUGGGCUUGAUGAUCCAUUGGUCUUUUGAGGCCCAUCUCAAAAAGGCUAGGUACUGAACCAACCCUUGCUUGGAAGGCCAGGACAUCAAUGGGAGGUUCUGAAGUUGAGACUCCUAAAGCUUAGUAUGGUAGAGCCACGCUAAGUCUUCAGCGUAUGCAUUAAAUGGGUGGGUGGCUAUAAGAGUGUCUAGAAAGAGAUUGUUUACUUUUGUACAUAGAAGCCAUAAUU